Molecule: ribosomal RNA, 379 nt
Filed under: uncultured bacterium
Lineage: Bacteria
Description: bacterial SSU rRNA
Rfam family: Bacterial small subunit ribosomal RNA
Source: RNAcentral
GUCUCUAGUUGCCAGCGCGUAAUGGCGGGAACUCUAGAGAGACUGCCGGUGCCAAACCGGAGGAAGGUGGGGACGACGUCAAGUCAUCAUGGUCCUUACGUCUAGGGCUACACACGUGCUACAAUGGAAUGGGACAGAGGGGCGCAAGACCGCAAGGUGGAGCAAAUCCCAAAACCCUUCCUCAGUUCGGAUUGUCGUCUGCAACUCGACGGCAUGAAGCUGGAAUCGCUAGUAAUCGUGGAUCAGCUACGCCACGGUGAAUACGUUCCCGGGCCUUGUACACACCGCCCGUCACGCCAUGGAAGUGGCGAGCGCCCGAAGUCCGUGUCGGAACCCGCAAGGGGCCAAGCGGCCGAAGGCGAGCGUCAUGACUGGGGCG